CAAGUCGAGGGGCAGCAUUUCAGUUUGCUUGCAAACUGGAGAUGGCGACCGGCGCACGGGUGAGUAACACGUAUCCAACCUGCCGAUAACUCGGGGAUAGCCUUUCGAAAGAAAGAUUAAUACCCGAUGGUAUAAUCAGACCGCAUGGUCUUAUUAUUAAAGAAUUUCGGUUAUCGAUGGGGAUGCGUUCCAUUAGGCAGUUGGUGAGGUAACGGCUCACCAAACCUUCGAUGGAUAGGGGUUCUGAGAGGAAGGUCCCCCACAUUGGAACUGAGACACGGUCCAAACUCCUACGGGAGGCAGCAGUGAGGAAUAUUGGUCAAUGGGCGCAGGCCUGAACCAGCCAAGUAGCGUGAAGGAUGACUGCCCUAUGGGUUGUAAACUUCUUUUAUAUGGGAAUAAAGUUUUCCACGUGUGGAAUUUUGUAUGUACCAUAUGAAUAAGGAUCGGCUAACUCCGUGCCAGCAGCCGCGGUAAUACGGAGGAUCCGAGCGUUAUCCGGAUUUAUUGGGUUUAAAGGGAGCGUAGGUGGACAGUUAAGUCAGUUGUGAAAGUUUGCGGCUCAACCGUAAAAUUGCAGUUGAUACUGGCUGUCUUGAGUACAGUAGAGGUGGGCGGAAUUCGUGGUGUAGCGGUGAAAUGCUUAGAUAUCACGAAGAACUCCGAUUGCGAAGGCAGCUCACUGGACUGCAACUGACACUGAUGCUCGAAAGUGUGGGUAUCAAACAGGAUUAGAUACCCUGGUAGUCCACACAGUAAACGAUGAAUACUCGCUGUUUGCGAUAUACAGUAAGCGGCCAAGCGAAAGCAUUAAGUAUUCCACCUGGGGAGUACGCCGGCAACGGUGAAACUCAAAGGAAUUGACGGGGGCCCGCACAAGCGGAGGAACAUGUGGUUUAAUUCGAUGAUACGCGAGGAACCUUACCCGGGCUUAAAUUGCAUUUGAAUAANNUGGAAACAGGUUAGCCGCAAGGCAAAUGUGAAGGUGCUGCAUGGUUGUCGUCAGCUCGUGCCGUGAGGUGUCGGCUUAAGUGCCAUAACGAGCGCAACCCUUAUCUUUAGUUACUAACAGGUCAUGCUGAGGACUCUAGAGAGACUGCCGUCGUAAGAUGUGAGGAAGGUGGGGAUGACGUCAAAUCAGCACGGCCCUUACGUCCGGGGCUACACACGUGUUACAAUGGGGGGUACAGAAGGCAGCUACCUGGUGACAGGAUGCUAAUCCCAAAAGCCUCUCUCAGUUCGGAUCGAAGUCUGCAACCCGACUUCGUGAAGCUGGAUUCGCUAGUAAUCGCGCAUCAGCCAUGGCGCGGUGAAUACGUUCCCGGGCCUUGUACACACCGCCCGUCAAGCCAUGAAAGCCGGGGGUACCUGAAGUACGUAACCGCAAGGAG
Molecule: ribosomal RNA, 1391 nt
Filed under: bacterium NLAE-zl-P907
Lineage: Bacteria
Description: 16S ribosomal RNA
Rfam family: Bacterial small subunit ribosomal RNA
Source: RNAcentral